RNAcentral lists this ribosomal RNA (406 nucleotides) under uncultured Eubacteriales bacterium. RNAcentral's name for it is "uncultured Clostridiales bacterium partial 16S ribosomal RNA". It matches the Rfam family "Bacterial small subunit ribosomal RNA", at positions 355 to 774 of the family's 1533-position model. Lineage: Bacteria; Bacillati; Bacillota; Clostridia; Eubacteriales. The record is from RNAcentral.
UGGGGAAUAUUGGGCAAUGGAGGAAACUCUUACCCAGCAAUGCCGCGUGAAUGAAGAAGGUCUUCGGAUUGUAAAGUUCUUUAAUUGGGGACGAAAAAAAUGACGGUACCCAAGGAAUAAGCCCCGGCUAACUACGUGCCAGCAGCCGCGGUAAUACGUAGGGGGCAAGCGUUGUCCGGAAUAACUGGGCGUAAAGGGUGUGUAGGUGGUUGUUUAAGUUAGAAGUGUAAUACCCAGGGCUCAACCCGGGUGCUGCUUCUAAGACUGAAUGACUUGAGUGCAGGAGAGGAAAGUGGAAUUCCUAGUGUAGCGGUGGAAUGCGUAGAUAUUAGGAGGAACACCAGUGGCGAAGGCGGCUUUCUGGACUGUAACUGACACUGAGGCACGAAAGCGUGGGGAGCAAACA